GACGAACGCUGGCGGCGUGCUUAACACAUGCAAGUCGAACGGAAAGGCCCUGCUUUUGUGGGGUGCUCGAGUGGCGAACGGGUGAGUAACACGUGAGUAACCUGCCCUUGACUUUGGGAUAACUUCAGGAAACUGGGGCUAAUACCGGAUAGGAGCUCCUGCUGCAUGGUGGGGGUUGGAAAGUUUCGGCGGUUGGGGAUGGACUCGCGGCUUAUCAGCUUGUUGGUGGGGUAGUGGCUUACCAAGGCUUUGACGGGUAGCCGGCCUGAGAGGGUGACCGGCCACAUUGGGACUGAGAUACGGCCCAGACUCCUACGGUAGGCAGCAGUGGGGAAUAUUGCACAAUGGGCGGAAGCUUGAUGCAGCAACGCCGCGUGCGGGAUGACGGCCUUCGGGUUGUAAACCGCUUUCGCCUGUGACGAAGCGUGAGUGACGGUAAUGGGUAAAGAAGCACCGGCUAACUACGUG
This 468-nucleotide ribosomal RNA is filed under the name uncultured bacterium. RNAcentral's name for it is "partial 16S ribosomal RNA". It matches the Rfam family "Bacterial small subunit ribosomal RNA", at positions 28 to 507 of the family's 1533-position model. The record is from RNAcentral.